This 445-nucleotide ribosomal RNA is filed under the name uncultured bacterium. Its description in RNAcentral is "partial 16S ribosomal RNA". It matches the Rfam family "Bacterial small subunit ribosomal RNA", at positions 354 to 796 of the family's 1533-position model. The record is from RNAcentral.
GUGAGGAAUAUUGGUCAAUGGACGAGAGUCUGAACCAGCCAAGUCGCGUGAAGGAAGACGGUUCUAUGAAUUGUAAACUUCUUUUGUGCAGGAAUAAAGUGGGUUACGUGUAACCUUUUGUAUGUACUGUACGAAUAAGGAUCGGCUAACUCCGUGCCAGCAGCCGCGGUAAUACGGAGGAUCCGAGCGUUAUCCGGAUCUAUUGGGUUUAAAGGGUGCGUAGGUGGAUUGAUAAGUCAGCGGUGAAAGUUUGCAGCUUAACUGUAAAAUUGCAGUUGAAACUGUCGGUCUUGAGUGCAAAUGAGGUAGGCGGAAUGUGUUGUGUAGCGGUGAAAUGCUUAGAUAUAACACAGAACUCCGAUUGCGAAGGCAGCUUACUGGGAUGCAACUGACACUGAUGCACGAAAGCGUGGGUAUCAAACAGGAUUAGAUACCCGUGUAGUCC